Molecule: long non-coding RNA, 233 nt
Organism: Mytilus californianus (California mussel)
Lineage: Eukaryota; Metazoa; Mollusca; Bivalvia; Mytilida; Mytilidae
Exons: 2
Source: RefSeq, a predicted model, not a curated record
CUAAAUACACUGUUAGAUUCGGCAUAACAAAUAAAUAAAUGUGAUCAAAGUUUUUAAUAAAAUGCUCCGCUGGGGCGCAGCUUGAUACGACCGCAGAGGUUGAACCCUGAACAGUUGGGGCAAGUAUGGACACAACAUUCAAGCUUGAUACAGCUCUGAAUUUGGAUUGUUAUUAAAUAUUUGACACAGCAUAGGUUUCUGACACAGAAAGAAUGUGGUCUAAGAACUUGAAU